AAAAAAUUAAGAAAAAGUAGAUUAUCCCAUUUUAUUCUUGCUUAGUUUGGAUUUUGCGACACUGACCUUCUGCUACAUGACGUCACACUAAUAGAGCGUAUUCCAAAUUUUUACAAAUCUGUCAAAUUUUAUAUUUAUAAAACUCGAAUAGAAUUUUUGGUGACUCCUACUAAUUAAAAUAAAAAUAAAAUUAAUAAACAAAAGUACUGCUGGAUAUGGUUAAGUUCUACCCAAAGAGAGAGUUAAUUCUUUGGCAACCCGCGAAAUGAAUUAGUAUAGGAAUGAUGUUUGUUGUGUUUUUUUGUGCUAUAGCACUAUUCAACAAUAUUCCCGCCGAAUUCUUCAUAUCUUAUUUUUAAUGUAAUAAGUGCUAAUACUUACUUAUAAUAGUGUAAUAUAUAAAGUUAUUUGGACAAUGCUUCUAUAUAAGUGGUUUUCUGUUUUUGUACUAUUAGAUAUCAUGCAUAACAGUUCUACUCUAUUUUUCAUAUUUUUAUGGUGAGGUCUAUAUCAAGAGUUUCAAGGAAUUAUUAAGGAAACCGCAUUAAUGCAAGGGAGGAGAUGUCUGAGCAAACUGAAGAAUUACGGAAUAUGCUCUUCAGUUUUCGAGUGUCAGAAUUACAAAUGUUAUUGGGCUAUGCUGGUAGAAAUAAGACAGGACGUAAAACCGAACUUCAACAAAGAGCUGUAGAAUUACUCAGAGUUAGAACACAUCCGAUCCAUCAAAAAAUCAGAGAAUUAUAUAAAACCAUACAAUCCAACUUUUCCAGGCAAGCCAGUACACUGACAUCAGGUCCUCAGACAAAUUCUGCAACUCCAGAUCAACAAACUCAAGUUACAACAAUGUCACAGCAACCUGGGAACAUAACAAGAAAUACAGCUCAAGUUCACCCAUUUAGUGUAGAUUCAAGGACAAUGACUACUAGACAGGCAGCCACUACUGCCAUGUACAGCACACCUAGUAUGGCUCAAAAUAUGUAUUAUCCUCAAUAUACAAAUCCAAAACAACCUGUUAUGUCCAGUAAUUUUCCAGUUCAUCCAGAUGUUAGAUUUCGUAGAUUACCUUUUUAUGACAUAAUAGCUGAUCUCAUAAAGCCCUCCACUUUGGUGCCUCAAACAAGUCAGCGCAUGCAGGAGCAACUAUUUUAUUUUCAUUUAACUCCACAACAGGCCACAGAUAUAGCCAUCUCGAGAGAUAUUAGGCCAGGAGUUAAAUGUGAUUAUAUUAAACAAGUUCAGUUAAGAUUUUGUUUAUUGGAAACAACUUGUGAACAAGAGGACUGUUUUCCACCUCAAGUUAUGGUUAAAGUUAAUAACAAGUUAUGUCCUCUUCCGAAUCCUAUUCCAACAAACAAGCCAGGUGUAGAGCCAAAGAGACCACCCAGACCAGUUAACAUAACUCAAAUGGUCAAAUUAAGUCCAACUGUGGCCAAUCAAAUAUCAGUAUCUUGGGCAGCUGACUAUGGUCGUGGCUAUGCUAUGGCAGUGGCGCUUGUACACAAACUGAGUUCUACUGAUUUGCUUCAGAGGUUACAGAAAAAAGGUGCAAAACAUUCUGAUCAUACAAGAGCACUCAUAAAAGAAAAAUUAAGCGACGAUGGAGAUUGCGAAAUUGCGACAACUAGUUUAAGAGUUUCAUUAAUGUGUCCUUUGGGCAAAAUGCGAAUGUCUACUCCUUGCAGGCCACAAACUUGUGGACAUUUGCAGUGUUUUGAUGCAUCUUUGUUCCUCCAAAUGAACGAACGUAAACCAACUUGGAACUGUCCUGUCUGUGAUAAACCUGCAGUGUAUGACAACUUGGUCAUUGAUGGGUAUUUUCAAGAAGUUCUAAAUUCUGUAUUGCUGCCAUCGGAGUGCAAUGAAAUACAGCUUCUAAAGGAUGGAAGUUGGAGCAGCCAGAACAGUGACAAGAAGGUUGUCAAGAGCGAAAAGUCAGUACCAACUAGUAUAGCUAUUGACGAUUCCAUCGAGAUAAUAGAUGAUAAUGUUGAAAUCGUGAGCUCAAACGUCACUCCGCCAUCCUCCUCAACUGACAAACCUAAAGAGCCAGAAAAGAAGAAGGAAGUUGUAGACCUGACGGUGUCAGACUCUGAUGACGACGAGCCACUAGCCAAGCGAAGGCCUCCGCCAAAGCCAGAUUCUACCAUCAAAUUUAAUGGACUGGAGACAGCCAAAUCCCUGGUCCAAAGAAAGAUAGAUGACUUUUUCUCGUUGGAUUUUAAUCGCAGCGUUGACUGCUGACGAACGAAGGGGUAACUGAUAAGGAUGGGCGAUAAUGGAUUUUACCUAUCGAUAAGUUAUCGCUAUUCACCUGUCGAUAUGUCGAUAAUUAUCAAUAUAUCGAUAAUCAGGGGUAAGUUGAUAUAUCGAUAACUGUCGAUAUAUCUGUAGGUAUCGAUAACUAGUUAUCAAUAUAUCGGGGAGAAAUCUGUCCCUAAUCAUACGCAGAACAAUAUAUCCUCAUCUAGUUCGACUCAAGCGCGUACCACAACCACUCCGGGGCCUUCUUCAGUUUCCAGUUCUGGAUAUCCCGUCAGUCCUGGGGUGAUAAACCUGGACAGUCC
RNAcentral lists this unclassified non-coding RNA (2564 nucleotides) under Sitophilus oryzae (rice weevil). RNAcentral's name for it is "e3 SUMO-protein ligase PIAS1, transcript variant X2". Lineage: Eukaryota; Metazoa; Arthropoda; Insecta; Coleoptera; Curculionidae. The record is from RNAcentral.